Non-coding RNA from Potamilus streckersoni, 81 nucleotides. Lineage: Eukaryota; Metazoa; Mollusca; Bivalvia; Unionida; Unionidae. The record is from the annotation of a GenBank genome assembly.
GCUACGGUGGCCUAGUUGUUAGAGCGUCCGACUCGGAUGCGGGAAGUCGUGGGUUCGAUCCCCGGUCGAGUCAUACCAACG